RNAcentral lists this long non-coding RNA (370 nucleotides) under Carica papaya (papaya). Its description in RNAcentral is "long non-coding RNA (CPAP_LNC006507)". Lineage: Eukaryota; Viridiplantae; Streptophyta; Magnoliopsida; Brassicales; Caricaceae. The record is from RNAcentral.
CCUAUAAGGUACCCUUUCUCCCACAGUGUAAAAAAUGACGAGCAGCAAUCUUGAAAUAUCCUAUAGUUUCCCGUGAGCCAUAUACUCUACAAGCCAACAAAAAAGUUUCCUUUCCCUCAGUAGCUUCGCCGCCUUCUUUAUCCCUACAACCUGAAAACACAAUCGCAUAAAAUUCUUGAUUGUACUUAAACCAAAUCGGUUAAUUAUCUCAUCCACAACUUCAAUGCCGCAUGGGAAUGAGUCUCCUCUCUAUUGUAACACAUAAUGGAGAUGUCUAGAGACAAAGCUCGAUUAGGCCGGCGGACGUGUCACAUCUCAUUAGUUGUUAAGCAUUUGAUGAAUGGUUGUUCCUCUAAACACUGUUAACUUU